UAAGUUGUAGGCCUAUCAGCUGGUAGUUAGGGUAAUGGCCUAACUAGGCGGAGACGGGAGACGGGGGAUCGGGGUUUGAUUCCGGAGAGGGAGCCUGAGAGAUGGCUACUACGUCCAAGGAUGGCAGCAGGCGCGAAACUUGCCUAAUCCUUUGGGGAGGCGGUUAUGAGAAGUGAGUUUUUUUCGAGUGUAAAGGAGUCGAGAUUGAUUGGAGGGCAAGUCGGGUGCCAGCAGCCGCGGUAAUACCUGCUCCAAUAGUGUCUAUGGUGAAUGCUGCAGUUAAAAAGUCCGUAGUC
This 296-nucleotide ribosomal RNA is filed under the name Encephalitozoon intestinalis. Its description in RNAcentral is "partial small subunit ribosomal RNA". It matches the Rfam family "Microsporidia small subunit ribosomal RNA", at positions 161 to 461 of the family's 1311-position model. Lineage: Eukaryota; Fungi; Microsporidia; Unikaryonidae. The record is from RNAcentral.